AUUGAACGCUGGCGGCAUGCUUUACACAUGCGAGUCGAACGGUAACAGGCCGCAAGGUGCUGACGAGUGGCGAACGGGUGAGUAAUGCAUCGGAACGUGCCCAGUCGUGGGGGAUAACUACUCGAAAGAGUAGCUAAUACCGCAUACGAUCUAUGGAUGAAAGCGGGGGACCGUAAGGCCUCGCGCGAUUGGAGCGGCCGAUGUCAGAUUAGGUAGUUGGUGGGGUAAAGGCUCACCAAGCCAACGAUCUGUAGCUGGUCUGAGAGGACGACCAGCCACACUGGGACUGAGACACGGCCCAGACUCCUACGGGAGGCAGCAGUGGGGAAUUUUGGACAAUGGGCGCAAGCCUGAUCCAGCAAUGCCGCGUGCAGGAAGAAGGCCUUCGGGUUGUAAACUGCUUUUGUACGGAACGAAACGGCUCUGGUUAAUACCCGGGGCUAAUGGCGGUACCGUAAGAAUAAGCACCGGCUAACUACGUG
RNAcentral lists this ribosomal RNA (482 nucleotides) under uncultured bacterium. RNAcentral's name for it is "partial 16S ribosomal RNA". It matches the Rfam family "Bacterial small subunit ribosomal RNA", at positions 30 to 507 of the family's 1533-position model. The record is from RNAcentral.